GUGAAUUUAAUAUGUUAUCGUCCAUUUCAAUAACAAAUUUCCUAAAAAACAGUCGUCUUCAACAUGAAUGCCAAUGGAAUUUGAAGUGCACUAUAUAUGCUGUGAGCCUAGGGUUAGUUUGAUUCGAUUAUAAACCAAAUUAAUUAUGAGGAUGAUUAUAGUGACCAAGUAGUAUUAUUAGUUGUCCAAGGAUCGAAAGACAGUUGCACUUUUUCACACUCGAGGAGGGAGGAGGGAGGAGGGAGGAGGGAGGGCUAAAGCAUAUAAAAGCAUCUCCAGGGAGAAUUGUCUCCUAAAAGAAAAAGGGGCUAAACAUUUUGUAAAAGUUUGUAAAGUUUGGCACAACUUCUAAAAAAAACCGAAAAAUAAUGAAUAAUAAAAGUAGACCGACUGUAUAAAAUAAAAGAGUGAGGGAGAUUUUAGAAAUACAAAAAAGAAGCUAAAUAAUAAUGUUUUAUUUUGGUGGGUUUAUAAAGUUUAAUAACUGUUAAUGUUUAUAAAAGUGUGGAAAUGAAUGAUUAAUUAUUGGUGGAGGUGGAGCCCAGGGCGCCAAGGAAACAAAUAAAAGGGGAACAGAGCCAAGUUGUCCUGUGUCCACUUGCCUUUACCACAAUCAUUCCAAACCUGACAUCACCCGUGACAUCAGUUUUCCGACAAGGCCCGAGCGAUCCAGCAAACUGCACCCUCCACUUGGCAACAUCUCCACCGUCUAAAGCGCCCAAAAGAUUCUAGACCAAUACCAUAUAUCUUCUCAGACAGGAGCUGAUUUGGCCUUCUUCCAAAGUUACACGUUUUCUAUCUAGCGUUCCUCUUAAAUUUGCACCCUCUUCACCAGCAUAUUAUAACUAAGAAGGAUCGAGAAAGCUACAGCCCAUUCUAAACCAGCAAACAAAGAAAAAGAGAGAAAAACCCUUAGAAGAAGAAGAAGAAGAAGAAGAAGAAGAAGAAGGAAAGAGCAGCACGAUGAGUACCGUGACUCAUGAAGGGCAGCAUCAGAAAUAUAGCUUGAUAAAUUUUGAAGAGACUGAACUGCGCCUGGGGUUGCCUGGUGGAAUAGCUAAUCCUGGAAAGGAUGGAGAAGCUGCCAAGAACAAUGGGAAGAGAGGUUUCUCAGAAACUGUUGAUUUAAAGCUCAAUAUCUCAUCUCAAGAUGAGACAGCUGAUGAGGAUGAUCAAGAUCAACAACUACUGGAGUUGAAGAAGGAAAAGAAUGCUGCUGCACCUGCUCCCGGGGCAAAUGACCCAUCUAAACCCCCUGCUUCCAAGUAAGUGAUAUAAUUUUUCUUCUUCUUCUUAGAUUUCAUUUUAAGCACAAAGUUAUGAAGCAAUUACAACUCAGAAAAGUAGAGUCUAACCCAACACAACUAGGGUUUUAGUUUGGGGAAGGAGGAUUUCAACAGACGACUUGGAGUGCAGAAUAAUUCUUCUUAACCACUUAAUCCACAAGACUUUCGCGGUUUUUAGUUUAGAAAAAUAAUUGAUGUAGAAGAGUAUGGACUGCGUAGGUUGUAUUAUUAUGUAUUACGUAUUGAAUUGGGUGUUUUGGAAUGCUUCGGUUGGUUGUCGGAUGACCAAGGAAACGAACAAAACAUAUGGAAUCUUAUUUGCUUUUUUUUCUCAACCACAACCACCAAACAAGAAUUAAGGACAGCUCAUCAAAAAGUAGAACAAGGUUCUGACUCAUACGUAACGUUACACUAAUAUUACAGGGC
Molecule: long non-coding RNA, 1712 nt
Filed under: Prunus persica (peach)
Lineage: Eukaryota; Viridiplantae; Streptophyta; Magnoliopsida; Rosales; Rosaceae
Description: long non-coding RNA (PPER_LNC006723)
Source: RNAcentral